GCAUCUAAGGACAUUCAUUAGUCUUCCUCUUUUCCAAGUAAUGCUAUGAAUUUUCAUAUUUCUAGGGCAGCUCUCCAGAUGUCCAGCCACAAAGUCUUUCAAAUACCUAGGGGUCAACGGUGCCUAACAAUUAAAGAGAGAUCGAGUGAAUUCAACUGUCUGUCAAGAGUGAAUAUUCAAAACUGUCUGUCAAGAGUGAAUAUUCAAAACUGUCUGUAACUAGCUAGCUACUAUUACAAUGAAUAAGUACACACGUACACGUACCCAACUAGUUCUUUCGCUGUUCUGGAGAUUUCAAGACCACAAACGAAUAUGGUCGGGAACACUUCGUUUUGGUGUUGAAGCAGGUGGCUAUGGAUGUAAGCAGCAUGCUACACGGGUACUUACGAGACCACCGUCUCAUGUGCUGAUGAAAGCAUACGUUCUGCUUCACUGGUGUUGGACCCCAACAGUGCAUCCCAAAUAUUUCUCGCUGGGAGGAGUACUGCUGUACUGGAGCAGAAAAUAACAAUAGACAAAUGAUUAGCUUGAACACUAUAAUCACUGGUAAUCAUUAUUAUAUGUAAAGAUAAGUACUGACAUAAUUAUGUCAUAUGAAUAUCAAAAUUCCUUUGUAUGUAUAUAUAGAUUGCUAGUCAACAGGUUUCAGGUAUUGUUGGCAAACCAAAACUAUAUGAUAUAUUAAAAUGA
Long non-coding RNA from Halichondria panicea, 690 nucleotides. RefSeq lists it as uncharacterized. The record is from RefSeq and is a predicted model, not a curated record. The transcript has 3 exons. NCBI's taxonomy places the organism in Eukaryota, Metazoa, Porifera, Demospongiae, Suberitida, Halichondriidae.